RNAcentral lists this transfer RNA (79 nucleotides) under Legionella geestiana. RNAcentral describes it as "tRNA-Met". The record is from RNAcentral. Lineage: Bacteria; Pseudomonadati; Pseudomonadota; Gammaproteobacteria; Legionellales; Legionellaceae.
GGUAAAAUCAAUUGGUUACUUUGGCAUUGACGGGCUCAUAAUCCGUUGGUCCUAGGUUCAAGUCCUAGUGGGCCCACCA